RNAcentral lists this small nuclear RNA (163 nucleotides) under Castor canadensis (American beaver). RNAcentral's name for it is "U1 spliceosomal RNA (ENSCCNG00000003688.1)". It matches the Rfam family "U1 spliceosomal RNA". From Rfam's summary of the family: U1 is a small nuclear RNA (snRNA) component of the spliceosome (involved in pre-mRNA splicing). Its 5' end forms complementary base pairs with the 5' splice junction, thus defining the 5' donor site of an intron. The record is from Rfam by way of RNAcentral. Lineage: Eukaryota; Metazoa; Chordata; Mammalia; Rodentia; Castoridae.
CUACUUACCUGGAAGGGGAGAUACCAUGAUCACGAAGGUGGUUUUCCCAGGGUGAGGCUCAUCUAUUGCACUAUAGAUGUGCUGACCCCGUGAUUUCCCCAAAUGUGAGAAACUUGACUGCAUAAUUUGUGAUAUGUGGGGACUGCGUUCACUCUCUUCCCUC